UUCACUAUGCCUCGAAAAAGAUCUUCCCUAUCUCGAAGAUGUUCUCCCCUCCCGCCGUCUGUCCCAUCACCACCGAGGAUCGUUCCGUUGCUGGCUCAUUGUUCGUGCUCCGGUGGUCUUCACCGCCGAGGAUCGUUCGUUGUUUUUAUUUUUGAUUUGAUGUCUCGAUGGUCUUCAAGACAAAAUUUGAAGUUGAAUUUUGAUGGAAAUGGAAAGAGUUUUGGGGUUGGUACUUUAUACUUUUGUUUCAGAAUGAUGUUAGCUUCAAUGACCUUUUGUUGAACUUUUGUUAUGCAAAUUUGUGAUAGCUAGUGUCGGUACUAAUUUUAUUCAUCUUUUAGUUGAUGUAACUUGACAAUUAUAACUUAGGUUGAUAUUACUUGAACUCAUUAGAAAAUUAACGAAGUUUGUUGAUAUAACUUGUCAUGUAAACUUGUGCUAAGUUGGUAAUGCUUCAUUUUGUUUCAAUGAUAGUAUUGGAAA
Long non-coding RNA from Benincasa hispida (wax gourd), 483 nucleotides. RefSeq lists it as uncharacterized. The record is from RefSeq and is a predicted model, not a curated record. Lineage: Eukaryota; Viridiplantae; Streptophyta; Magnoliopsida; Cucurbitales; Cucurbitaceae.